This 72-nucleotide transfer RNA is filed under the name Camelus bactrianus (Bactrian camel). It matches the Rfam family "tRNA". Rfam says of the family: Transfer RNA (tRNA) molecules are approximately 80 nucleotides in length. Their secondary structure includes four short double-helical elements and three loops (D, anti-codon, and T loops). The record is from Rfam by way of RNAcentral. Lineage: Eukaryota; Metazoa; Chordata; Mammalia; Artiodactyla; Camelidae. RNAcentral also lists the same sequence under 1 other name.
GGGGGUAUAGCUCAGUGGUAGAGUGUGUGCUUAGCAUGCACAAGGUCCCGGGUUCAAUCCCCAGUACCUCCA